Molecule: non-coding RNA, 1698 nt
Organism: Phoenix dactylifera (date palm)
Lineage: Eukaryota; Viridiplantae; Streptophyta; Magnoliopsida; Arecales; Arecaceae
Source: RefSeq, a predicted model, not a curated record
CUUAUUUCCCCCUUUUGGUCUCGCACUCUUCGUUAUCCAUUCCAUGGAAGUGGAACCCUCGGAGUCGUCGUCCUUCCCCUUUCCUUCGAGUUCGAGGGCUAGGGUUUUCGCCAAUCCUUCCGACACGCAACCUCUCCCUCCCUUCCCUUCACUCCCAAACCCUAAUCCUAUCCGUCGCUCCUUCUCUGACGUCUCCGCCUCUGCUCCCAUGGAUUAUAGAUAUCGAGCCGCGGAAGACCGCGAUCGCUUGCUCUUCUCCUCCUCGUCCUCCGCCUCCUUCAAUGGCUAUUUCACCGAAAAGGCAUUGCGCGCGGGCUACAUUGACGUGGUUGGAGACAUCAGAAGAGGCGAUUUAAUCCAUCCGAUCCCGUCCAGAGAAGCCCUGCGGAGAGAGCUCCAGAAGGAGCUGAUCCGGGAGGAAACUCAUUGCGAGGGAUAUCGCUCAAAGGAGGAUCUUGGAGGAAGAAGUUAGGAGGGAGUUGGAGCUCGAGCGCGCGAUGGCCACGAGAUGGCUUCAGAUGGAGAGGUACUCCUCGGUGGCGAGGGCCUGGGUGCACCCUGAGGCGGGCCUCGGGCGUGGGAUGCAGUGUUGUCCGGAAGCUAGAAUAGGGGACAGGUUUCGGCCCCCUCGGGUGCCUCCGUAUCCAGAAGAUAAGGUUCGCGAGUGGUCACCUCCACCUCCAGUUCCUUCCAAACCGGUGGUGGGAAGGAAGCUGCCUCUGCCUCAGCAUCAGCCUGAGGUCACUGAAUGUGAUAUGUUGUUUUAGGUAGUAUUCAUCUGGCAACAUGAGAAGACAUGCAAAUGAGAAGAGAAAGGAACUGAUUUGUCAACCAUGAAAAACUUCCUUCUCAUCAAAGGGAGCCUACUUUACUCACUAUCCUUUGUUUUAUCGGUCAUGGGUAGCUUAUACCAUCAAAGCCCAAAUUAUCUGGGAUUAAGAGAACAGCAGUGGCUGUUACUGGAGGCAGUGAAUUUCCUAUGCCAUCCCAGAAGGAUUGGAGUUGUGCUCUCUGUCAGGUGAGUGCGACCAGCAAGCAGGGCCUGGAUGAACGCCUCUGAGGCAAAAAAACACAGAGCCAAUCGAGAAGCACUAAUUGAAGGCAAGAAACCCAAAGCCACAGAAGCACCAUUUGGUGCCAACAAAAUCUUAAAUGGUGAGUCGUUGACAGCAGGGGGCCUGUGAAGAAUUGAAGAGAAGACAAGCAGCAGCAGACAGUUCAGAAGACGAGCUACUUCUGUGACCUUUGCAAGGUGAAAUGCAACAGCGAGGCCAUGUUGACCUCUCACCUCCAUGGGAAGAAACAUAUUGGCCCAAGUUGAGGAGUCGAGGAAGGAUGGCAAACCCAUGAUGCCAGCCGGUGCUGGAAAGAAGGUUAAAACAAAUUAAACAGCAAAGAGGGAGGAGAUAAGAGGAAGACGAUAAAGGCAGAAGCAGAUAACGUUCAACGAUACCAGGAGCCAGAAUGCUUGAGUUGCUGAAAAGGUGGCAAAUCUCUCUGAUUGAAAGACCAAGAGCAACAGAUUUUUUUAUGUCUGACGCCUAGCCUUGAGGACACUGUUGCGACCUGGCAUGGGCCUUUGGUGCAUAAUUUUAUUUUUUUAAAGUUCAGAACUAUAUCUUAAUUGGAUCUGUUAAGUCAGGGAAUGAUUUGGUGAAAGCAUAUGUCAAAAAUUUAAAUUUUACCAUGGAACUUACA